GGAGGUAAAAGUCGUAACAAGGUUUCCGUAGGUGAACCUGCGGAAGGAUCAUUAAAGAGAAUAUGCCCUUCGGGGUAGAUCUCCCACCCUUUGUUUAUAUUACCUUUGUUGCUUUGGCAGGCCCGUCUUCGGACCACCGGCUUCGGCUGGUCAGUGCUUGCCAGAGGACCCAAAACUCUUAUUAUUAAUGUCGUCUGAGUACUAUAUAAUAGUUAAAACUUUCAACAACGGAUCUCUUGGUUCUG
Molecule: unclassified non-coding RNA, 245 nt
Filed under: plant metagenome
Description: partial contains small subunit ribosomal RNA, internal transcribed spacer 1, and 5.8S ribosomal RNA
Rfam family: Eukaryotic small subunit ribosomal RNA (bases 1-54)
Source: RNAcentral